CACAAGAGAAAUUGGCCCGCAUUAGAGACGAUCUGUUCCUUCGGAGUGAUACGUGCACUAGGAAAGGACUCCAAUCUUUAUUGGGGUCCCUUAACUUCACUAUACGGAUCAUUCCACAGGGAUCAUUCAUCUCAAGGCUGCUGUGUCUCCUACACGGGGUACCCGACACCGCUACUAUUACCUUAAACGCACCUGCCAGGGCAGACUUGAUCAUGUAGAGGAAUUUCACGUUGGAGUGGAAUGGAGUCUCCCUGUUCAUUCCCCCACUAUCCGACCAAUCUCCAAUAAUUUACACCGACGCAGCAGCACAUUUUUGCACCUUAGAAUCUCUAUGGUCCAUAUUAAUUGGACUGAUGUAAUUACAC
Molecule: non-coding RNA, 365 nt
Organism: Pelobates cultripes (western spadefoot toad)
Lineage: Eukaryota; Metazoa; Chordata; Amphibia; Anura; Pelobatidae
Source: the annotation of a GenBank genome assembly